UACGUAGGUGACAAGCGUUGUCCGGAUUUACUGGGCGUAAAGAGCGCGCAGGCGGUCGUUCAAGUCGAGUGUGAAAGCCCCCGGCUCAACUGGGGAGGGUCACUCGAUACUGAUCGACUCGAAGGCAGGAGAGGGAAGUGGAAUUCCCGGUGUAGUGGUGAAAUGCGUAGAUAUCGGGAGGAACACCAGUGGCGAAGGCGGCACUCUGGGCCGGUACUGACGCUGAGGAGCGAAAGCGUGGGGAGCGAACAGG
This 253-nucleotide ribosomal RNA is filed under the name uncultured bacterium. Its description in RNAcentral is "partial 16S ribosomal RNA". It matches the Rfam family "Bacterial small subunit ribosomal RNA", at positions 524 to 776 of the family's 1533-position model. The record is from RNAcentral.